UGAGGUGAGAUGGUUUGAUACUAACGUC
RNAcentral lists this non-coding RNA (28 nucleotides) under Mus musculus (house mouse). The record is from RNAcentral. Lineage: Eukaryota; Metazoa; Chordata; Mammalia; Rodentia; Muridae.